RNAcentral lists this ribosomal RNA (449 nucleotides) under uncultured bacterium. RNAcentral describes it as "partial 16S ribosomal RNA". It matches the Rfam family "Bacterial small subunit ribosomal RNA", at positions 29 to 523 of the family's 1533-position model. The record is from RNAcentral.
AACGAACGCUGGCGGCAUGCCUAACACAUGCAAGUCGAACGAGAUCUUCGGGUCUAGUGGCGCACGGGUGCGUAACGCGUGGGAAUCUGCCCUUUGGUUCGGAAUAACAGUUGGAAACGACUGCUAAUACCGGAUGAUGACGAAAGUCCAAAGAUUUAUCGCCAGAGGAUGAGCCCGCGUAGGAUUAGCUAGUUGGUGUGGUAAAGGCGCACCAAGGGGACGGUCCUUAGCUGGUCAGAGAGGAUGAUCAGCCACACUGGGACUGAGACACGGACCAGACUCCUACGGGAGGCGGCAGUGGGGAAUAUUGGACCAUGGGCGAAAGCCUGAUCCAGCAAUGCCGCGUGAGUGAUGAGGGCCUUAGGGUUGUAAAGCUCUUUUACCCGGGAUGAUAAUGACAGUACCGGGAGAAUAAGCUCCGGCUAACUCCGUGCCAGCCGCCGCAGUAA